GGAAGGAUCAUUACCGAAUUGUCAACAAGAGUUGUUGCUGGCCCCUGUACGGGGGCAUGUGCACGCUCUGUUUACACAUCCACUCACACCUGUGCACCCUCUGUAGUUCUAUGGCCUGGGGGGCUCUGUCCUCCUGUGCUGUGGUUCUACGUCUUUACACACACACUGUAAUAAAGUCUUAUGGAAUGUACGUCGCGUUUAACGCAAUGAAAUACAACUUUCAGCAACGGAUCUCUUGGCUCUCGCAUCGAUGAAGAACGCAGCGAAAUGCGAUAAGUAAUGUGAAUUGCAGAAUUCAGUGAAUCAUCGAAUCUUUGAACGCACCUUGCGCCCUUUGGCUAUUCCGAAGGGCAUGCCUGUUUGAGUAUCAUGAACACCUCAACUCUCACGGCUUGCCUGUGAUGAGCUUGGACUUUGGGGGUCUUGCUGGCCUGUGGUCGGCUCCUCUCGAAUAAAUUAGCUCGCCGGUGUUUGGUGGGGUCACAGGUGUGAUAACUAUCUACGCUUGCGGUUUUCCACCGGGUAACCUUCAGCAAUGGAGGUUCACCGGAGCUUACAAAUGUCUCUCCUCAGUGAAGACAGAUUUUGACCGUUUGAUCUCAAAUCAGGUAGGACUACCCGCUGAACUUAAGCAUAUCAAUAAGCGGAGGAAAAGAAACUAACAAGGAUUCCCCUAGUAACUGCGAGUGAAGCGGGAAGAGCUCAAAU
This 708-nucleotide ribosomal RNA is filed under the name uncultured fungus. RNAcentral describes it as "eukaryotic LSU rRNA". The stretch from base 216 to 370 matches the Rfam family "5.8S ribosomal RNA". Lineage: Eukaryota; Fungi. The record is from RNAcentral.